CCUACGGGAGGCAGCAGUGGGGAAUCUUGGACAAUGGGGGAAACCCUGAUCCAGCGACGCCGCGUGAGUGAAGAAGUAUUUCGGUACGUAAAGCUCUAUCAGCAGGAAAGAAAAUGACGGUACCUGACUAAGAAGCCCCGGCUAACUACGUGCCAGCAGCCGCGGUAAUACGGAGGGUGCGAGCGUUAAUCGGAAUUACUGGGCGUAAAGCGGUCGUAGGCGGUAUGUCAAGGCCAGGGUGAAAUCCCCGCGCUCAACGUGGGAACUGCCUUGGAAACUGGCAAACUGGAGUGGGUGAGAGGAAAGUGGAAUUCCAGGUGUAGGAGUGAAAUGCGUAGAUAUCUGGAGGAACAUCGGUGGCGAAGGCGACGAACUGGCACAUAACUGACGCUGAGGAGCGAAAGCGUGGGUAGCAAACAGGAUUAGAUACCCCAGUAGUC
Molecule: ribosomal RNA, 440 nt
Filed under: uncultured bacterium
Lineage: Bacteria
Description: partial 16S ribosomal RNA
Rfam family: Bacterial small subunit ribosomal RNA
Source: RNAcentral